GAUAAACGCUGGCGGCGUGCUUAACACAUGCAAGUCGAACGAGAACUACAUUGACAAGAAGCUUGCUUCAAGGAUAUAUAGUUCGAGUGGCGGACGGGUGAGUAACGCGUGAGUAACCUGCCGUAUACCGGGGGACAACAGAGGGAAACUUCUGCUAAUACCGCAUAAGCGCACAGCAUCACAUGAUGCAGUGUGAAAAACUCCGGUGGUAUACGAUGGACUCGCGUCUGAUUAGCCAGUUGGUGAGGUAACGGCUCACCAAAGCAACGAUCAGUAGCCGGCCUGAGAGGGUGAACGGCCACAUUGGGACUGAGACACGGCCCAGACUCCUACGGGAGGCAGCAGUGGGGAAUAUUGCACAAUGGAGGAAACUCUGAUGCAGCGACGCCGCGUGAGUGAAGAAGUAUUUCGGUAUGUAAAGCUCUAUCAGCAGGGAAGAAAGAAAUGACGGUACCUGACUAAGAAGCCCCGGCUAACUACGUG
This 483-nucleotide ribosomal RNA is filed under the name uncultured organism. Its description in RNAcentral is "bacterial SSU rRNA". It matches the Rfam family "Bacterial small subunit ribosomal RNA", at positions 28 to 507 of the family's 1533-position model. The record is from RNAcentral.